This 540-nucleotide ribosomal RNA is filed under the name Platyrhaphe minutus. RNAcentral's name for it is "partial 16S ribosomal RNA". The record is from RNAcentral. Lineage: Eukaryota; Metazoa; Mollusca; Gastropoda; Architaenioglossa; Cyclophoridae.
UAGCAAGAUAAAAUUUAGAUUUAAUGUUCUCGAAACCUAAAGAGCUACCUUGAUGUGAGAGUAGUCUUAAAAUGUGAAUGUAGCAAAAUUCUUUUUAAAUUUCAAGGUAGGAAUGAUAUUUUAUUCGUGUUAGGUGAUAGCUAGUUUUGGCAAAAAUAUAUCUAAGUAUAUAAACUAAAGAAAGUUUCAGUAAUGAAUGUUGCUUUAAGUACUUUAGUUUUUCAUUUAUAUGAGGAUAAGCUCGUAUAAUUAUUGUGUAGUAUUUAAUAGCUAUUUAAAAAGGAUUUAGGCUUGAAGUUGGUCAUGAUUGAAAGUUUGUUUUAAAAUAUUUUUAUUUGUUAUUGAGUUAUGCUUGGUUUAUGCUGAUUAAUUUUUGUACUAUAAAAAAUGAUUGGGUUUAUGCUAAAAUGAGUAUUAUUUUGAAAUAAAUUUAUGCUAUUUUAAAAAUUUGCUUAAUAGAAAAGUGAUAAAAAUUAGAAAUGUAUUUAAGGAAUUCGGCAAAAAUGUAUUUCGCCUGUUUAGCAAAAACAUGGCUCUUUG